This 408-nucleotide ribosomal RNA is filed under the name uncultured bacterium. Its description in RNAcentral is "partial 16S ribosomal RNA". It matches the Rfam family "Bacterial small subunit ribosomal RNA", at positions 28 to 526 of the family's 1533-position model. The record is from RNAcentral.
GACGAACGCUGGCGGCGUGCUUAACACAUGAAAGUCGAACGAAGUGGCGAACGGGUGAGUAACGCGUAAUCAACCUGCCCUUCAGAGGGGGACAACAGUUGGAAACGACUGCUAAUAACGCAUACAGAAGGAGGGGAUGGCGUCGGAUUAGCUAGUGGGAGGGGUAACGGCCCACCAAUGCGAGGCUCAGUAGCCGGUCUGAGAGGAUGAACGGCGCCAUUGGGACGGCGACACGGCCCAGACCCCUACGGGAGGCAGCAGUUGGGAAUCUUCCGCAAUGGACGAAAGUCUGACGGAGCAACGCCGCGUGAGUGAUGACGGCCUUCGGGUUGUAAAGCUCUGUUAAUCGGGACGCGGUACCGGAAUAGAAAGCCACGGCUAACUACGUGCCAGCAGCCGCGGUAAUUC